AGCUCUAUAGGGUAGUGGUUUGCAUGUCUGCUUUACAAGCAGAAGGUCCUGGGUUUCUGCCCCAGGUGGAGCCA
Molecule: transfer RNA, 74 nt
Filed under: Pteropus alecto (black flying fox)
Lineage: Eukaryota; Metazoa; Chordata; Mammalia; Chiroptera; Pteropodidae
Rfam family: tRNA
About the family: Transfer RNA (tRNA) molecules are approximately 80 nucleotides in length. Their secondary structure includes four short double-helical elements and three loops (D, anti-codon, and T loops).
Source: Rfam by way of RNAcentral